UACGGAGGGUGCAAGCGUUAUCCGGAUUUACUGGGUUUAAAGGGUGCGUAGGCGGAUAAGUAAGUCCGUGGUGAAAUCCUGCAGCUUAACUGCAGAACUGCCGUGGAUACUAUUUGUCUUGAAUAUCGUGGAGGUUAGCGGAAUAUGUCAUGUAGCGGUGAAAUGCUUAGAUAUGACAUAGAACACCCAUUGCGAAGGCAGCUAACUACGCGAUUAUUGACGCUGAUGCACGAUAGCGUGGGGAUUAAACAGG
This 253-nucleotide ribosomal RNA is filed under the name uncultured bacterium. RNAcentral's name for it is "partial 16S ribosomal RNA". It matches the Rfam family "Bacterial small subunit ribosomal RNA", at positions 524 to 776 of the family's 1533-position model. The record is from RNAcentral.